RNAcentral lists this ribosomal RNA (406 nucleotides) under uncultured bacterium. Its description in RNAcentral is "partial 16S ribosomal RNA". It matches the Rfam family "Bacterial small subunit ribosomal RNA", at positions 30 to 526 of the family's 1533-position model. The record is from RNAcentral.
AUUGAACGCUGGCGGCAGGCCUAACACAUGCAAGUCGAGCGAGCGGCGGACGGGUGAGUAAUGUCUGGGAAACUGCCUGAUGGAGGGGGAUAACUAAUGGAAACGGUAGCUAAUCCCGCAUACCAUCAGAUGUGCCCAGAUGGGAGUAGCUAGUAGUUGGGGUAAAGGCUCACCUAGGCGACACUCCCUAGCUGGUCUGAGAGGAUGAGCAGCCACACUGGAACUGAGACACGGUCCAGACUCCUACGGGAGGCAGCAGUGGGGAAUAUUGCACAAUGGGCGCAAGCAUGAUGCAGCCAUGCCGCGUGUGUGAAGAAGGCCUUCGGGUUGUAAAGCACUUUCAGCGGGGAGGCGUUACCCGCAGAAGAAGCACCGGCUAACUCCGUGCCAGCAGCCGCGGUAAUUC